Ictidomys tridecemlineatus (thirteen-lined ground squirrel) is the source of this 72-nucleotide non-coding RNA. NCBI's taxonomy places the organism in Eukaryota, Metazoa, Chordata, Mammalia, Rodentia, Sciuridae. The record is from Rfam.
GGGGCUGGGGCUCAGGGGUGGAGCGCUGGCCUAGCAUGUGUGAGGCCCUGGGUUCAAACCCCAGCACCACCC